This 547-nucleotide ribosomal RNA is filed under the name uncultured bacterium. RNAcentral's name for it is "partial 16S ribosomal RNA". It matches the Rfam family "Bacterial small subunit ribosomal RNA", at positions 355 to 895 of the family's 1533-position model. The record is from RNAcentral.
UGGGGAAUUUUGGACAAUGGGCGAAAGCCUGAUCCAGCAAUGCCGCGUGUGUGAAAAAGGCCUUCGGGUUGUAAAGCACUUUUGUCCGGAAAGAAAUCCUUGGCUCUAAUACAGUCGGGGGAUGACGGUACCGGAAGAAUAAGCACCGGCUAACUACGUGCCAGCAGCCGCGGUAAUACGUAGGGUGCAAGCGUUAAUCGGAAUUACUGGGCGUAAAGCGUGCGCAGGCGGUUUGCUAAGACCGAUGUGAAAUCCCCGGGCUCAACCUGGGAACUGCAUUGGUGACUGGCAGGCUAGAGUAUGGCAGAGGGGGGUAGAAUUCCACGUGUAGCAGUGAAAUGCGUAGAGAUGUGGAGGAAUACCGAUGGCGAAGGCAGCCCCCUGGGCCAAUACUGACGCUCAUGCACGAAAGCGUGGGGAGCAAACAGGAUUAGAUACCCUGGUAGUCCACGCCCUAAACGAUGUCAACUAGUUGUUGGGGAUUCAUUUCCUUAGUAACGUAGCUAACGCGUGAAGUUGACCGCCUGGGGAGUACGGUCGCAAGAUU